Coffea eugenioides is the source of this 704-nucleotide long non-coding RNA. RefSeq lists it as uncharacterized. The record is from RefSeq and is a predicted model, not a curated record. Lineage: Eukaryota; Viridiplantae; Streptophyta; Magnoliopsida; Gentianales; Rubiaceae. The transcript is spliced from 3 exons.
UCCGCAUGUUUUCUACUGGACACGGGGGCUUCUCUGAGGUUGCUGGUCAGUCCAGUUCGGAUGGAUUUGAGCGCUAACUUCAAAUUUCAUUUUUUUUCCUGGGGUGGUUUUCAAAUUGACUGACCAAAUCAUUAACCGCAGAAACUUGAACUGGCCAAGUAACUAUCAUCACCAUGUUAGAAGAUUCAUCCAGUCCAGUUGAUGAAACUAAACUUCACUUUCAUGCGUAGUUGUCCGGCUGACCAAUUCGAUCUGCUGACAGCUAAGAGGCAAAGAAGGAUAAGGAGCAACGGAAAGCCAAGCGGAUGCUUAGGGCUCUUUCCUGGAAGUUACAGAGUAUUCCCGAUAGCUAAUCACCCUCACAAGAAAAAAAGAAAUUUAGAAUGUGGAAUUUUCAGCAUCAACUGGUCCUGCGUUUUCUUCCGGCGCCAGCAGCCAUCCCCAUUCAUCCAAUACAAAUUUUCAUCUGACGAUGGUCUUCUACUAAGCAGCUGAGAUGACAGAAGUUGUCGAUUUACCGUUCAACUAGUUUUUCACGCUCUACGCACUAUUAAUUAAGUAGGUUAAUCAUACUGAACUUUCCACAGGAUUGGCGUACGUGUCACAUUCGAAGGCUUUUGCUUUUUUGUGGAAUAUUUUCAAAUUUUGAUAACUUUAUCCCGUCAACUUUUUCAAGAUAGCUCUUACCAUUUUGUCUCUGUCAU